UAAUAUUUCGUUUAAGGGCGUAUGGUGAAUGCCUUGGGAGAAGUAGGCCGAUGAAGGACGUAGUAGGUUGCGAUAAGCCUCGGGGAGCUGCCAAACAAGCUUUGAUCCGUGGAUUUCCGAAUGGGGAAACCCCUAGAGCCCGUGUCUCACUUUCGUUCGACACAAUCAAACUCAAAAUUCAAAAGUAAAAACUCAAAACUAAAGUAAGCACUUCGUGCUUAUAUAUUAAAUAGUUGUUCCGAAGGAACACAUUAGUUUUGACAUUUGCGAUUUAAGUUUUGAGUUAUGAAGUGGCGAACGGUAGCGAGACACGAGGCGGGUAAGCCGGUGAACUGAAACAUCUUAGUAACCGGAGGAAAAGAAAUCGUAUGAGAUUCCCUUAGUAGUGGCGAGCGAACAGGGAAAAGUCUAAACCCCUCACCCUUUAAAGACAGACGUUGUCUAAUUUAAUCUGCAGAGCAGAUUAAGUCUUUAAAGGGUGAGGGGGGUUGUGGGACUCACAUAAUCCAAUCGAAAGAGUAGAAGAACGAGCCUGGAAAGGACGACCAAAGAGCGUGAUAGUCGCGUAUUCGAAACUCAAGUAGAGGCGAGGUGAUGUUCCCAAGUAGCACCGGACACGUGAAACCCGGUGUGAAUCUGGGGUGAUCAUGCUCCAAGACUAAAUACCACUUCUCACCGAUAGUGAACAAGUACCGUGAGGGAAAGGCGAAAAGAACCCCGCAAGGGGAGUGAAAUAGAACCUGAAACCAUAUGCUCACAAUGAGUAGGAGUCCCUCACCCUUUAAGGACAGACACAUUGUCCAAAUUAAUCUGUGAAACGGAUUAAGUCUUUAAAAGGUGAGGGAUGACUGCGUGCCUUUUGUAGAAUGACCCAACGAGUUAGCUGUGUGUAGCAAGCUUAAGAGAUUUAUCUUGUAGGCGUAGUGAAAGCGAGGCCCAAACGGCCGAUUAGUUGCACACACUAAACCCGAAACCAGGUGAUCUAUCCAUGGCCAGGAUGAAGUUCGAGUAAAAUCGAAUGGAGGUCCGAACCUGUUCUAGUUACAAAUAGUUAGGAUGAGCUGUGGAUAGCGGAGAAAUUCUAAUCGAACCUGGAAAUAGCUGGUUCUCCUCGAAAUAUAUAUAGGUAUAGCCUGGAAUAGACCCCAUUUGGGGUCACAGUCGCAGGAAGAGGUAGAGCACUGACUGAAUUUGCGGGGACUUCGGUUCUCGCGUUCAAACAAACUCCGAAUUCUUCCUGAUUCAUUCCAGAGUCAGACGGCGGGGGCUAAGCUUCGUCGUCGAAAGGGAAACAGCCCAGACCGUCAUCUAAGGUCCCUAAUUAUAAUCUAAGUGGAAAAAGUAGUGGAAUCUCCAAUACAACCAGGAUGUUGGCUUAGAAGCAGCCAUGCAUUUAAAGAGUGCGUAAUAGCUCACUGGUCUAGUUAAGAGGUUCUGCGCUGAAAAUUUAACGGGGCUCAAGAUUAUAACCGAAGAUACGGACUCGCGCUUUGCGCGAGUGGUAGAGGAGCGUUCUUGGUGCAGUGAAGGUCAUCCUGUAAGGGAGGCUGGAGCGCCAAGAAGCGAGAAUGUUGGGAUGAGUAACGAAUUAUCGCGACGAGAAAUCGCGACACCAAAUAACCGAGGUUUCCUGGGCAACGGUAAUCGUCCCAGGGUUAGCCGGGCCUAAGUCGAGGCCGUUGUAGUGGCGGCGUAGACGAUGGACAGAAGGUCAAUAUUCCUUCGCUUUUGUAUAUUAAACUUGGUGACGCUUUGCCGUAGUCAUAAUAGAAGUAUGGUUUAUCUAUUAUGGUGUAGGCGGAGACUAGAAAAACCAAGCAUGUUAUGUAUGCAAAAUCCGUACCGCAAACCGACUCAGGUGGUUGAGGCGAGAAGCCUAAGGUGAUCGGAAGAACCCUCGUUAAGGAACUCGGCAAAUUAGCAGCCGUAAGUUAGCAAUAAGGCUUCCCAGCCCUUUCGCAAGAAAGAGCUGGGCGCAGCGAAAGAGUCCAGGCGACUGUUUAUCAAAAACACAGGUCCCUGCUAAAUCGUAAGAUGAUGUAUAGGGGCUGAUGCCUGCCCAAUGCUCGAAGGUCAAACCGGUCCCUGAUUCCCCGUCGCAAGACGAGGGACUAGGGGAACGACUAAGCCCGAGUGAAUGGCGGCCGUAACUAUGAAAUGGACCAUUGUAGUUAUAAAAUUUAGCCAUAUGCUGGAACAUCUGGUUAUUCCUUUGCUACUACCAUCCAUAAGGUGGUAUGUAACAAUGUAAAGGUACAGACAAUCAGCAGGAAAGACUCUGAAUAAAAUCAGGGAAUCCUCAGAGACUACACGCUAAACCAAUAUAUUGAAAUAGAAACGAUAUAUUUGGAUGAUAUAGUCCGAUCUGCAUGGUGACAUGCAGUGCUAAAUAGAAAUAUUUAGCCAUCGAUAUUAAAUAUCGAAAGUAACAAUAUGAACGGUCCUAUGGUAGCGAAAUUCCUUGUCGGGUAAGUUCCGACCCGCACGAAUGGCAUAACGAUCUGGACGCUGUCUCAACGAGGGAUCCGGUGAAAUUACAUAGUCGGUAAAGAUGCCGAUUACUCACAGCAAGACGGAAAGACCCCGUGGAGCUUUACUAUAGCUUGAUAUUGGCUCGAGAAAAUUCAUGUGUAGAAUAGGUGGGAGACUGUGAAGUCCCGACGUCAGUCGGGAUGGAGUCAACAGUGAAAUACCACCCUUGAAUUUUUUUGAGUCUAACUUUGGCCUGUGAUACGGUCGAAGGACAGUAUUUGGUGGGUAGUUUAACUGGGGCGGUUGCCUCCUAAAUUGUAACGGAGGCGUUCAAAGGUACGCUUAGCCCGGAUGGAAAUCGGGCCUCGAAGUAUAAAAGCAUAAGCGUGCUUAACUGCGAGACUUACAAGUCGAACAGACGCGAAAGCGGGAUUUAAUGAUCCGGUAAACUCUAAUGAUAGAGAUACCGCUCAACGGAUAAAAGUUACCCCGGGGAUAACAGGCUGAUCGCAUCCAAUAGUCCACAUAGACGAUGCGGUUUGGCACCUUAACAUUGGGGUGCUAUGGAAGUAAUUCCAUACCAAAAAUGCGGCUUAUAACGGUGAACCCCUAUUGUUUGUUCGGGAUAUAUUCGGUAAUAUUAUAGAAUAUAAGAAUAAACAAGGGCGAUACCGUGGGAAGUCGGUUAAUUUGAUGAUAGAUGAUAGAGCGUAGAAAAUAGAAUUUGAAGUUAGAAAAUGGAGGCUCGAAUGAUUCAAUCGUUCAGAGAUUUAGAAGUUUACAAAGAAUCGUAUGCUUUAAUGCUAAUUGUUCAUAGAGAAAUUAAAAGAUUGCCGGUUUACGAACGCAAUGAUUUAGCAUCUCAAAUGCGCAGAGCAUCAAAAUCUCCUCCUGCAAAUAUUGCAGAAGGUUGGGCAAAACGAAGGUUUGAAAAAGAAUUCAAAAAACAUCUUGACACUUCUGUUGGUUCGGCCAAUGAAAUGGAAGUACAUAUUGAGAUGGCGAGAGACCUUGGUUAUUGGUCACCAAUAUUUUGUAACGAUUUGCUUAAAAGAUAUAAGAAUCUUGGUGGCAAGAUAGUAAAUCUUCGGAAUAACUGGAAAACUUUCUAACAUCAACCUUCUAAUUUCAAUAUCUAUCUUCUAUCUUCUAUUUAUCUAUCAUCAAAAAAAACUUGACCCCGUAACGACUGAUUCGAAAGAUGAGAUUUGUCAUUAAUUUGACAGAUAAUACGCCGCUUCCUACUUAUCAAAACAAAGGAUAUGGUUUUUAACCUAAAGUCCGGUUGUAGGAUAAAGAUAUAGUCUACACCAUAAGUAAUUAUGGACAAAGGUACGAUGUCGGCUCAUCCUAUCCUGGAGGUGAAGCAGCUUCCAAGGGUCUGGCUGUUCGCCAGUUAAAAGGGUACGCGAGCUGGGUUCAGAACGUCGUGAGACAGUUCGGUCCUAAUCUGCUGUGAGCGUGGAAAUUUGAGCGGGUGUUCCCCUAGUACGAGAGGACCGGGGAGCGUAGACCACUGGUGUAUCUGUUGUCGAUACCAUCGGCAUUGCAGAGUAGCUAUGUCUUACUUGGAUAAGCGCUGAAAGCAUAUAAGCGCGAAGCCAGCCGCAAGAUUAGAUUUCUUAGAUUCCUUAUAGAUAAUGAGGUUGAUAGGCUUUAGGUGUAAGGGUAGCGAUAUCCUCAGCCAAGAAGUACUAAUUGAUCAAUUAGAAUAUUAUU
RNAcentral lists this ribosomal RNA (4191 nucleotides) under bacterium. RNAcentral's name for it is "23S ribosomal RNA". It matches the Rfam family "Bacterial large subunit ribosomal RNA". The record is from RNAcentral.